GACGAACGCUGGCGGCGUGCUUAACACAUGCAAGUCGAACGGAAAGGCCCUGCUUUUGUGGGGUGCUCGAGUGGCGAACGGGUGAGUAACACGUGAGUAACCUGCCCUUGACUUUGGGAUAACUUCAGGAAACUGGGGCUAAUACCGGAUAGGAGCUCCUGCUGCAUGGUGGGGGUUGGAAAGUUUCGGCGGUUGGGGAUGGACUCGCGGCUUAUCAGCUUGUUGGUGGGGUAGUGGCUUACCAAGGCUUUGACGGGUAGCCGGCCUGAGAGGGUGACCGGCCACAUUGGGACUGCGAUAGGGCCCAGACUCCUACGGGAGGCAGCAGUGGGGAAUAUUGCACAAUGGGCGGAAGCGUGAUGCAGAAACGCCGCGUGCGGGAUGACGGCCUUCGGGUUGUAAACCGCUUUCGCCUGUGACGAAGCGUGAGUGACGGUAAUGGGUAAAGAAGCACCGGCUAACUACGUG
This 468-nucleotide ribosomal RNA is filed under the name uncultured bacterium. Its description in RNAcentral is "partial 16S ribosomal RNA". It matches the Rfam family "Bacterial small subunit ribosomal RNA", at positions 28 to 507 of the family's 1533-position model. The record is from RNAcentral.